UACGAAGGGGGCUAGCGUUGCUCGGAAUCACUGGGCGUAAAGCGCACGUAGGCGGCUUUUUAAGUCAGGGGUGAAAUCCUGGAGCUCAACUCCAGAACUGCCUUUGAUACUGGGAAGCUUGAGUCCGGAAGAGGUGAGUGGAACUCCGAGUGUAGAGGUGAAAUUCGUAGAUAUUCGGAAGAACACCAGUGGCGAAGGCGGCUUACUGGUCCGGUUCUGACGCUGAGGCGCGAAAGCGUGGGGAGCAAACGGG
RNAcentral lists this ribosomal RNA (253 nucleotides) under uncultured bacterium. RNAcentral's name for it is "partial 16S ribosomal RNA". It matches the Rfam family "Bacterial small subunit ribosomal RNA", at positions 524 to 776 of the family's 1533-position model. The record is from RNAcentral.